GUUUCAGCAUCGCGUCAACGGAAGUGUCGAUUUCUACCGGAACUUCUUUUCCUAUGAGGCCGGGUUUGGUUCACUAAGUGGGGAGUUUUGGCUUGGAUUGUCCCUGGUGCAUGAGAUGACGUCAAGAACAACCAACGAAUUACGAAUCGAUAUACAAAGAGCUAAUGGAAACCUCGGAUAUGUAGUUUAUCCUAGGUUCCGAAUAGAGGCCCCUCCAACAUACAUAUUGCGCAUUGGAAACAAAACAGACUACAGCGGAAUUUCAUCUGCAAUGGCUGAUGAUCUCACGAGCACACACGGGGCAAUUAAUAUGGCGUUCACGACCUUUGAUAGGGACAAUGACCUAUAUGGCGGUAACUGUGCUUCCGUAUAUCAUGGGGCGUGGUGGUACAAUGUUUGCUUUCGCGUAAACUUAAACGGAGAUUAUCUGACACCUGGAACGUAUUCACACUCUUCAAUGUCGUUCAUAGAUGAAUAUUUAUCUUUAAAAACCAGCCGAAUGAUGUUCAGAACCACGUGACGUUGUCUGAAAACUUAGCACAAAAAUUUAUUGAAAAUCUGCAUUCUCACAUAUUGAACGUUUUGACAACUUUUUAAUUUCUUGUCUUGGAACGAGCCAAUUUUUGCAAAAAUCCAGUUAUAUAAGACUGCUGACAAAAAAUAGAUCGAAGAUUUUUAUAUUUAAGUUCAAAAAUUGAUGUUAAAUGCAUUUCUAUUAAACCGUUAGUAACGGAUUAAGCCAUAAAAUAUUAUUUUUCGAACGGAAAUAUGAAAAUCUGAUCUUUUGUCAGCAACCUUUUAUCAUUGGUCUGCAGAUA
Long non-coding RNA from Mya arenaria, 818 nucleotides. RefSeq lists it as uncharacterized. The record is from RefSeq and is a predicted model, not a curated record. NCBI's taxonomy places the organism in Eukaryota, Metazoa, Mollusca, Bivalvia, Myida, Myidae. The transcript has 3 exons.